CGGACGGGUGAGUAAUGUCUGGGAAACUGCCUGAUGGGGGGGGAUAACUACUGGAAACGGUAGCUAAUACCGCAUAACGUCGCAAGACCAAAGAGGGGACCGUUCGGGCCUCUUGCCAUCGGAUGUGCCCAGAUGGGAUUAGCUAGUAGGUGGGGUAACGGCUCACCUAGGCGACGAUCCCUAGCUGGUCUGAGAGGAUGACCAGCCACACUGGAACUGAGACACGGUCCAG
RNAcentral lists this ribosomal RNA (232 nucleotides) under uncultured bacterium. RNAcentral's name for it is "partial 16S ribosomal RNA". It matches the Rfam family "Bacterial small subunit ribosomal RNA", at positions 99 to 334 of the family's 1533-position model. The record is from RNAcentral.